CCUACGGGCGGCAGCAGUGAGGAAUAUUGGUCAAUGGGCGGGAGCCUGAACCAGCCAAGCCGCGUGAGGGAAGAAGGUACAGCGUAUCGUAAACCUCUUUUGUCAGGGAACAAAGGCGAGGACGAGUCCCCGGGUGAGAGUACCUGAAGAAAAAGCAUCGGCUAACUCCGUGCCAGCAGCCGCGGUAAUACGGAGGAUGCGAGCGUUAUCCGGAUUUAUUGGGUUUAAAGGGUGCACAGGCGGCCUGUUAAGUCAGCGGUAAAAGCGCGGGGCUCAACCCCGGCGCGCCGUUGAAACUGGGGGGCUGGAGUGGGCGAGAAGUAGGCGGAAUGCGUGGUGUAGCGGUGAAAUGCAUAGAUAUCGCGCAGAACCCCGAUCGCGAAGGCAGCGUACCGGCGCCAAACUGACGCUGAGGCACGAAAGCGUGGGUAUCGAACAGGAUUAGAUACCCGAGUAGUC
This 459-nucleotide ribosomal RNA is filed under the name uncultured bacterium. RNAcentral describes it as "partial 16S ribosomal RNA". It matches the Rfam family "Bacterial small subunit ribosomal RNA", at positions 338 to 795 of the family's 1533-position model. The record is from RNAcentral.